GCCUGAAUUGUUUUUAAAAGGCCAAUUCAGAAUAUUUUAAAAAGUAUUUUAGUGUGUCAAAUGUGAAUUGACACACAGUAUUUUGCUCACAGCAAGCUGAGAAAUCUUCAGAAUAUGAACUUUUUAUAUGACUUGGUAACUAACAAUUCAAAAAGGUAAACCUGACUGUUUUGUAAUGAAUGUUUUUUGGAAACACAUUUGAAAUCCAUCAUUCACCCAACAAGCUUGGAUUUGCAUGUCUUGGGCAUUAUCUUUUCUUCACUUGGCAAGCAUAGCUGCAGACAACAUUUCUGCUUGUCUAAAGAGUUUCUUUGUUGGUAAAACUUUACUCACUUUUUAGUGACAGAGUGAUGUUUUUGAAAAGAAACCCUAAAAGGGUUUUAAGCUGCUUUGUUACAUUGCUAGUUUAUCAUUAGUGCUCAUUAUCUGCAUAUUUGGCAAGGAUGCAGGAUGUUUAGGAUAAUUUCAUUUUGUCAAAUUUAGUUCUGACAUUUAUUUAAGAAUAGCCAAUUCUCAAUUUCUCAGAGUAAUGUAGAAAAGCCCAGUCAUGGAUUAGCCACAUAAUGUAUUGGAAUAUGUAGAUUAGUCAGUUACAGUAAUUAACAUGUAGAAACUAAUGUUCUGCAGUUUUGUUCAGCUAUAACUGGAAAGUGCUGAAAUCUCAAGCAGUGAUAACCAUCAGUAUUAUAUGUACAGCAAAGUAUAUUUAUAUUCAAAAGAAUACAAAAAUAAUUUUAAGUAAAACAGAAAAAAAACCCAGUUCUUUAAAAAACACAAUUGUUGUUUACUCUUUUUUAUUUGCUCUUUUUGCACACAGCUGCUGGUGGGGUUUGGUGGGUGAUGAAGUAAGUAGGAAGAUGAAUGGCGUCAUUACUACCUGGGACACAGAGGAAAUUACUUAACCGGAUCCCUGGGUGGCGCAGCGGUUUGGCGCCUGCCUUUGGCCCAGGGCGCGAUCCUGGAGACCGGGGAUCGAGUCCCACAUCAGGCUCCUGGUGCAUGGAGCCUGCUUCUCCCUCUGCCUGUGUCUCUGCCUCUCUCUCUCUCUCUCUGUGUGACUAUCAUAAAUAAAUAAAAAUUAAAAAAAAAAAAAAAAGGAAAUUACUUAACCACUUGUUGCCUCAGUUUCCUCUUUGUAACAUGGGAAAAAUAUAACCUACUUCAUGAGGUGCUUCAAAUAACAUCUGGCAGGGCAACCUGGGUGGCUCAGCAGUUUAGCACUCCCUUUGGUCCACGCGUGACCCUGGAGACCCAGGAUUGAGUCCCACGUCAGGCUCCCUGCAUGGAGCCUGCCUGUGCCUCUGCCUCUCUCUGCCUCUCUCUGUGUCUCUCAUAAAUAAAUACAUAAAAUCUUAAAAAAAAAAAAAAACC
RNAcentral lists this long non-coding RNA (1371 nucleotides) under Vulpes vulpes (red fox). Its description in RNAcentral is "lncRNA (ENSVVUG00000022981.1)". Lineage: Eukaryota; Metazoa; Chordata; Mammalia; Carnivora; Canidae. The record is from RNAcentral.